UAACUUGUCACCUGCCGCUGC
RNAcentral lists this non-coding RNA (21 nucleotides) under Arabidopsis thaliana (thale cress). The record is from RNAcentral. Lineage: Eukaryota; Viridiplantae; Streptophyta; Magnoliopsida; Brassicales; Brassicaceae.